GUUCUGUGGAGCACUAUGGGGUGGUAUGGGGUACUAUGAGGUUCUAUGGGGCUCUAUGGGAUCUAUGGAGUUCUAUGGGAUGCUAUGGGGCACUAUGGGAUUCUGUGGGACGCUAUGGGGUUCUGUGGGGCACUAUGGGUUUCUAUGGGGCUCUAUGGGAUCUAUGGAGUUCUAUGGGAUGCUAUGGGGCACUAUGGGAUUCUGUGGGACGCUAUGGGGUUCUGUGGGGCACUAUGAGGUGUUAUGGGGCUCUAUGGGGUUCUGUGGGGCGCUAUGGGGUUCUAUGGGGUUCUGUGGGGCACUAUGAGGUGUUAUGGGGCUCUAUGGGGUUCUGUGGGGCGCUAUGGGGUUCUAUGGGGCGCUGAGUUCCUUUCCCCCCCCAGCUGUUCAUCACCAUUAUGGACAAACUGCGCCUGGAGAUCCGCGCCAUGGAUGAGAUCCAACCCGACCUGCGGGAGCUGCUGGAGACGAUGAACCGCAUGAGCGCCCUGCCCAAGGACUUCGAGGGCCGGCACCACGUCCUGCACUGGCUGCAGACGCUGAGCUCCAUGUCGGCUGCCGACGAGCUGGACGACUCCCAGGUCCGCCAGAUGCUCUUCGACCUCGAGUCCGCCUACAACGCCUUCAACCGCUGCCUGCACGCCUGAACCGGAGGAGGAACCAGAACCGGAACCGGAACCGGAACCGGGACUGGGGGAGUCAAUGGCAACACCGCAGCACCACCGUGGCACCAAUGGAAACAAUGGGAAGAAUGGAACCGGUGGAAGCAAUGGAAGCAGUGGUACCGAUGGACCCAACGGAACCAACGGAACCGAUGGACCCAACGGAACCAACGGAACCAAUGGUGUCGAUGGUACUGAUGGAACCAAUGGAACCAAUGGUAUCGUUGGUACCAAUGGACCCAACGGAACCAGUGGACCCAAUGGACCCAACGGAACCAAUGAUACCAAUGGACCCAAUGGCACCAAUGGACCUGAUGGAACCAACAGACCCAACGGAACCAAUGGACCCAACAGAACCAAUGAUACCAAUGGACCCAAUGGCAGCAAUGGAACCAAUGGAACCAAUGAAAACCAGUGGCACCAAUGGACCCAGCAGAACCAACAGACCCAAUGGACCCAACGGACCCAAUGGAACCAAUGGACCCAACGGAACCAAUGGACCCAACGGAACCAAUGGAACCAAUGGACCCAAUGGAACCAAUGGACCCAACGGAACCGAUGGAAGCAACGAACCCAAUGGUACCCAUGAACCCAAUGGUACCAAUAGGCCCAACGGAGGCAAUGGCACCAAUGGACCCAAUGGAACCAUCAGACCCAACAGAACCGAUGGAACCAAUGGUACUGAUGGUACUGAUGGACCCAAUGGAACCAACGGAACCAAUGAAAAUCAGUGGCACCAAUGGACCCAACGGAACCAACGGACCCAAUGGAACCAACGGACCCAAUGGACCCAACGGAACCAAUGGCACCACUACAUCAGUGCGACUCACCGUCACCAUCACUGCUGAGUCAACGGCACCAGAACUGUAACCGGAACCAGAACCAUUGGGUCAACGUCACCACCAAGUCAACGUCACCGUCACCACUGCAACACCGUCACUGUCACCAUCACUGCUGGGUCAACAGCACCAGCACCGGCACCGGCACCAUCGGGUCAAUGGCACCAUUGGGUCAGCAUCACCACCGGGUCAACGGCACCAUUGCAACACCGUCACCAACCAGAUCAGUGUCACCACCACGUCACCAUUACCAUCGC
Chrysolophus pictus (golden pheasant) is the source of this 1758-nucleotide long non-coding RNA. Lineage: Eukaryota; Metazoa; Chordata; Aves; Galliformes; Phasianidae. The record is from Ensembl.